CAAUUGAAGUGUCCACCACCGUGCCGCCAGCGAAUCCCGGCACCCACUACGGUGGCGUCCCUCGGAGCCGCGCGGUAGCUGUAGAGGUGAUCUGAAGCACGGAGAAGAUACCUGUCCUGGGCCUGGGCAUCUGGAAGGCAGUAACUCUUCUUGCCCGUUCACUCGAUGCCAGCCCCUGGAUGCCAGGUGUUGUACUGUACUACUGUACUUUUCAAGAGUGGCUGCACCAUGUUGCACUUCCAUCAGCCAUGAAUGAGAGUUCCUGUUGCUCCACAUCCUCACCAGCAUUUGGUGUUGUCAGUGUUCUGGAUUUGGACACUUUUAACAGGACUUCCAAAACUAUGCUGAAUAAUAGUGGCAAGAAUGGACACCCUUGACUUGUUCCUGAUCUUAGAGGAAAUGCUCUCAGUUUUUCACCAUUGAGAAUAAUGUUUGCUGUGGGUUUGUUGCAUAUGGCCUUUAUUAUGUUGAGGUAGGUUCCCUCUAUGCCCACUUUCUGGAGAGUUUGUUGAAUUUUGUCAAAAGCUUUUUCUGCAUCUACUGAGAUGACCAUAUGGUUUGUACAAAUUUCCAAGACUGAACCAAGAAGAAUUAGAGAAUAUAAUCAGACCAAUCACAAGUAAUGAAAUUGAAACUGUAAUUAGAAAUCUUCCAGCAAACAAAAGUCCAGGGCCAGAUGGCUUCACAGGAGAAUUAUAUCAAACAUUUAGAGAAGAGCUAACGCCUAUCCUUCUCAAACUCUUCCAAAACACCGCAGAGGAAAGAACACUCCCAGACUAGUUCUAUGAGGCCACAAUCACCCUAAUACCAAAACCAGACAAAGAUAUCACAAAAAAAGAAAAUUACAGACCAAUAUCACUGACGAACAUAAAUGCAAAAAUCCUCAACAAAAUUCUAACAAACGGAAUCCAACAACACAUUAAAAAGAUCAUACACCAUGAUCAAGUGGGAUUUAUCCCAAGGAUUCAAGGAUUCUUCAAUAUAUGCAAAUCAAUCACUGUGAUACACCAUAAUUAACAAAUCAAAUAUUCUCUUACUGUGCUUAGUUCCCUGACCAGGGAUCGAACCUGCACCCCCUGCAUUGGAAGCACAGAGUCAACCACUGGACUUCCAGGGAAGUCCCAUUACUGUACUUAAUUAAAAUUAAACUUUAUCAUAGGCAUGUACAUAUAGGAAAAAAUAUAGUCUAUAUAGUGUUCAGUAAUAUCCAUGGUAUGGUUUGGGGCAUCCACUGUGGUGGUGGUGGGUGGGGGGAAGUGUCUUAUCCCACAGAUUAGAGAGAACUAUUGUAUCUCACUUUUGUCUUAAUUUGCAAAUCUCUAAUGAUAUGGGAUGUUUAACAAUUUUUUCAUAUGCUUAUUUGCUACCUGUUCAGGCAAACCUUGGAGAUACUGCAGGUUCAGUUCCAAGCCAUCACAAUAAAGCAUAUAUUGCAAUAAAGGAGCCACAUAUUUUUCAGUUUCCCAGUAAACAUAAAAAGUGAUGUUUACACUACACUGUGGUCUAUUAAGUGUGCAAUAGCAUAUGUCUAAAAACUACAUACCUUAAUUUAAAACGACUCAAUUGCUAAAAAGUGCCAAAACAGUUACAAUAGU
This is a long non-coding RNA of Orcinus orca (killer whale), 1595 nucleotides long. RefSeq lists it as uncharacterized. The record is from RefSeq and is a predicted model, not a curated record. The transcript has 4 exons. NCBI's taxonomy places the organism in Eukaryota, Metazoa, Chordata, Mammalia, Artiodactyla, Delphinidae.